Long non-coding RNA from Daphnia pulicaria, 277 nucleotides. RefSeq lists it as uncharacterized. Lineage: Eukaryota; Metazoa; Arthropoda; Branchiopoda; Diplostraca; Daphniidae. The transcript is spliced from 2 exons. The record is from RefSeq and is a predicted model, not a curated record.
UGGUGGCUCCUUUGAGCAUGACCGGAUACUACAAUUAAAGAAUAAAACAGGAUAACAAUCAAAACUAAAACAACAAAAAGGUGGAUAAAAAUUGAGGCGUAUAAAAACAACCGGAAACCCUCACCCCACUACGGACGUGAUAAUACUUCUUUUCCUCAAGCUCUUUUAUUGAAUAAUUUUGGUAGUCGGAAAAUAAAUGCCAUACAGAAAAAUUUGUAUUCAAGAGUGAUUGUAAGUAUUCUGCGAAAGAUAAACAUUUGAUUAAUAAUAGAGGGAU